GUGAACGCUGGCGGUAGGCCUAACACAUGCAAGUCGCACGGCAGCACAGUAAGAGCUUGCUCUUACGGGUGGCGAGUGGCGGACGGGGGAGGAAUACAUCGGAAUCUACUUUUUCGUGGGGGAUAACGUAGGGAAACUUACGCUAAUACCGCAUACGACCUACGGGUGAAAGCAGGGGAUCUUCGGACCUUGCGCGAUUGAAUGAGCCGAUGUCGGAUUAGCUAGUUGGCGGGGUAAAGGCCCACCAAGGCGACGAUCCGUAGCUGGUCUGAGAGGAUGAUCAGCCACACUGGAACUGAGACACGGUCCAGACUCCUACGGGAGGCAGCAGUGGGGAAUAUUGGACAAUGGGCGCAAGCCUGAUCCAGCCAUACCGCGUGGGUGAAGAAGGCCUUCGGGUUGUAAAGCCCUUUUGUUGGGAAAGAAAAGCAGCAGGUUAAUACCCCGCUGUUCUGACGGUACCCAAAGAAUAAGCACCGGCUAACUUCGUG
Molecule: ribosomal RNA, 491 nt
Filed under: uncultured bacterium
Lineage: Bacteria
Description: partial 16S ribosomal RNA
Rfam family: Bacterial small subunit ribosomal RNA
Source: RNAcentral